GCUCUUCCACCCACCACUACUACCCUCAGCAUCUACUGCACCUCAGUGACAGUUUUCUUCAUUGUCAUUAAGAUGGUAAAUUAUCACCUCCAUCUGAUGUUUGAUCAGGGCGACAUUAUAGCCCAGAAUAGUGUGGCUGACAUUAGCAAAUGUGUAGACAAGAAAAGCAAUGCAUCUAAUUCCUGUCUUCCAUUGGAAGAGCAGCACAGUUCCUGACAGUGUUGCCAUAUCUGUAUUGACCCAAAACAGGCCAAGUUCAGUAAUAAAAGUGCUAAAAGUAAAAGUAAUAAAAGUAAUAAAACAGCCUGAAACAGACCCUGGACUGAUUGGAGGAGAGGAAAGAUAACUUUACCAGCUGUAACAGUGGCAUGAACAUGGAGGAUGUGGAUUGUGCUGGUUCCUCCUUAAGUCAGAAUCAUAACUCCGCCACAUCCCAGAGCCGAAGCCUUUUUCACGGCCGCCAAAGCAGCUCCCAGUCCAGACACCACGGACUCACCGGGAGUAUCGCAGUCGCCCAGUGCAACCUCAGGGCCAACGGCCCCCUGUCACCAGCUGAUCGAGUCCCAUCCUGGACAGCCAGCACGGCUCCAACAGCCAGCUGUCCUUCAACACCUCCUCCAUUGCCUCCGUCUUUUCCCAGGUGCCUCGUUUAUCCACAACAGGGCCUCUGGCUCUGGCUCCAGCCAGGCGUCUUCCUCCAGCUCCACACUGAGCCUGCUGUUGGCAAGCGGAGCUGCUCCAGCGGCUUGGUCAUCUCAGGCCUCUCUGCAGCUGAGAGGGGGAACACCAGAGAUACGCAGUCCUCAAGUUCUGACAACAUCGUCCUAGGCCCGUCCUGUCACUCGAGUCAUGCAAUGCAGCAGUGGACAUCAGAGGCGUAG
This 881-nucleotide long non-coding RNA is filed under the name Carassius auratus (goldfish). RNAcentral's name for it is "lncRNA (ENSCARG00000063657.1)". Lineage: Eukaryota; Metazoa; Chordata; Actinopteri; Cypriniformes; Cyprinidae. The record is from RNAcentral.